CUAGAAGACCGAGACUUGAACUCGGAUCCGGAAGCCCAAAACUUCCGAUAUUUCAUAUACUACCUCCUA
This 69-nucleotide transfer RNA is filed under the name Achalinus meiguensis (Sichuan odd-scaled snake). RNAcentral describes it as "tRNA-Gln". Lineage: Eukaryota; Metazoa; Chordata; Lepidosauria; Squamata; Xenodermidae. The record is from RNAcentral.